Ribosomal RNA from Chrysemys picta bellii (western painted turtle), 117 nucleotides. Lineage: Eukaryota; Metazoa; Chordata; Testudines; Emydidae. The record is from Ensembl.
AUAUGCAGCCAUACUACCUUGGACUAUAUUCUCAUCUGUACUCAUAAGAGGAGUAAGGUCAGACCUGGCGAGUACUUGGAUGGGAAACCAACAAGGGAAAUUGUGCUCUUGCAUGAA